UGCAAGGUCAACUGGCCAGCGGUCUGCGCCCCGACGAAGCAAGGUGGCCUGGGCAUCCCCGACCUACAACGUUUUGGCAGGGCGCUGCGGCUGCGCUGGCUCUGGGCUGCUUGGCACCACCCGGAGCGGCCUUGGGUGGGCACCGAGCUGCCCUGCGACGGCGCGGACAAGGCGCUCUUCGCGGCUUCCACCAGAGUUGCAAUCGGCGACGGGGCCCGGGCAUCUUUCUGGCUCUCUCCAUGGAUCGGCCAGGGUUGCCUGUCGCAACAGUUUCCAACGCUGUUUAGCUACUCGAGGCGCAAGAACAGAUCGGUGCGGGAGGCCCUCGGCCACGACACGUGGAUCCGUGACCUCGCUCACGACAACAACCAUCACCUCCUGCUAGACGUCCUCGCCCUUCAUCGUCUGCUUCAUGGGACGGACGCGCAGCUGCAGCCAGGCAUGCCGGAUGAUCUGACAUGGAGUAGAGCGAGCUCAGGAAAGUACACGGCGUGGUCGGCCUACCUGGCGCAGUUCCAGGGGAGAACGGCGACCCAUUUCGACCGGCUGGUUUGGAAGGCCUGGGCGCUGGGCAAAAUCAAAAAUUUUGCCUGA
RNAcentral lists this ribosomal RNA (594 nucleotides) under Triticum aestivum (bread wheat). RNAcentral's name for it is "partial small subunit ribosomal RNA". The record is from RNAcentral. Lineage: Eukaryota; Viridiplantae; Streptophyta; Magnoliopsida; Poales; Poaceae.